UACGAAGGGGGCUAGCGUUGCUCGGAAUCACUGGGCGUAAAGGGUGCGUAGGCGGGUCUUUAAGUCAGGGGUGAAAUCCUGGAGCUCAACUCCAGAACUGCCUUUGAUACUGAGGAUCUUGAGUUCGGGAGAGGUGAGUGGAACUGCGAGUGUAGAGGUGAAAUUCGUAGAUAUUCGCAAGAACACCAGUGGCGAAGGCGGCUAUCUGGACGGUUUCUGACGCUAAGACGCGAAAGCGUGGGGAGCAAACAGG
This 253-nucleotide ribosomal RNA is filed under the name uncultured bacterium. RNAcentral describes it as "partial 16S ribosomal RNA". It matches the Rfam family "Bacterial small subunit ribosomal RNA", at positions 524 to 776 of the family's 1533-position model. The record is from RNAcentral.